GCUCAUCCAAUUUCCUAGGCUCUUUGCAUUCCAGAAUCAGAAGUAAGUAGUUCCUAUGACUGAAAAGUUUCUGGUCAAACAACUACUUCGAGCAGUUUCAGGUCCUAUUUGUGUUAAGCUCAUGAGGAUAGCUAAUCUUCACAUGGCUUCCGACCUGCUAAGAGUGGAGAAAACUUCAUAUUUGCUUAGUGCAAGGACAAGAAAUUGAC
Molecule: long non-coding RNA, 209 nt
Filed under: Solanum tuberosum (potato)
Lineage: Eukaryota; Viridiplantae; Streptophyta; Magnoliopsida; Solanales; Solanaceae
Description: long non-coding RNA (STUB_LNC001699)
Source: RNAcentral